GUGGUUUAGUAUAGGUUGGAGCCAGAAAUGUGGUUUAGAAUAGAUUGGAGCCAGAAAUGUGGUUUAGUUUAGGUUGGAGCCAGAAAUGUGGUUUAGUAUAGAUUGGAGCCAGAAAUGUGGUUUUGUAUAGAUUGGAGCCAGAAAUGUGAUUUAGUAUAGGUUGGAGCCAGAAAUGUGCUUUAGUUUAGAUUGGAGCCAGAAAUGUGGUUUAGUAUAGGUUGGAGCCAGAAAUGUGGUUUAGUUUAGAUUGGAGCCAGAAAUGUGGUUUAGUAUAGAUUGGAGCCAGAAAUGUGGUUUUGUAACAGGCGUCGUAAGGAUUAGACCAAGGUGCAGCAGGAACAUGUAUACUCAUCCUCUUUAUUAAAUCAAAAGAAGGAAAAACAAACAAAUCACAUAUACAAAACAACAAACACCACUAAACAGUCCUGUCAGGUACACAGACACAAAACAGGAAACAACUACCCACAAAUCCCAUUACAAAAAC
This 484-nucleotide long non-coding RNA is filed under the name Salmo salar (Atlantic salmon). RNAcentral's name for it is "lncRNA (ENSSSAG00000101906.1)". The record is from RNAcentral. Lineage: Eukaryota; Metazoa; Chordata; Actinopteri; Salmoniformes; Salmonidae.